AUUUAACUGCCGAUAAUAAUAAUUUCUAUAAUAACAAAAAUCUCCUCUAAAGGCUUUUAACCUCUCACUUACUGAGCUGACACCGCUGUACUGUUACUGCUAACGCUGCUGAACUGUCAAAAAAAUAAUAAUAAGCUUAUAUUGCCUCUGGAAUUGAACUCUUUUUAUAUAUACACACACAAAAGCACUCAUCCGCUCUUUUUUUUACAAUAAUAAUUAGAUUUAGUUACCUAGAAGAGUCGAGAACAAAAUAUAAUAAUAGACUGAUGAACGAGAUCGAUUUGCACCGUUUCACGUUACGAGAUCAUCAUCAGGGAUCAGGCAAAUGACGAUGCUGAUUCUUAGGACGAUCCUUAGAUGCGAGCGAGACAAUGAACUAUUCAGUGAUUAAGUGAAGUGAGGAGGUUGAAGUGGCGGCACCAGAUCCGGAUCCGGGAGUUCAGAUGAUCAUUUCCUGUUUUAUGCCUCACUCAGUCGAUACUUCUCUCAGGCAACCGUCCAGGUUGCUCAUCAGAGACGGCGGUGGAGUAGAGACAGGAGGUGUCAUUGUUGGCGGGGGCGGCGGAGGCGGCGGCGGUGUUGCAGGUGGCGGCGGCGGCGGCGGUAGUGGUCCUCCAAGCGGUGAAGAACCGCGCGUGCCGCCCGUGUCGCGUCGCGCUCCCAGUUUGCGGUUGGCGAACGGUCGGGUGGCGACCGCGCGAUCCGAGGAGGAAAUCCGAUCGCCGCCCCCGCGCCGCCUCGCCAAAGAUGACUCGAUCAAGAUCAGCAUCGAGAACACCAACACGUGCACCGACUCUUUAGUUACCGCCCUCGACGAUGAAACCCUACUGAUUGCCGAUUGUUUAUCCAACGAUAUGAAUUAUAAAGGUAGCGGUAAAGUCCAUUUCGGCGUAGACGACAUGUCGCUCUACGGUACCCCCAAGGAGGAACCGGGUCCGAUCCCGAUGGGCUGCGUGGAAACCGGGAAACAAAGUUUCAUCAAAAAUCAACUGCAGGCCCUUUUCCAGCCGACCGAUAACAAGUUGGCGAUGAAACUAUUCGGCUCGAAAAAGGCCCUGAUGAAGGAACGGAUACGACAAAAAGCGUCCGGCCAUUGGGUGAUACAUCCCUGUUCCAGUUUUAGAUUUUAUUGGGAUUUAUGUAUGUUGCUGUUACUAGUUGCCAAUCUGAUAAUCUUGCCAGUUGCCAUAAGUUUCUUUAACGACGAUUUGAGCACCCGCUGGAUUGCCUUCAAUUGUUUAUCGGACACGAUAUUCCUUAUCGACAUCGUAGUUAAUUUUAGAACAGGUAUAAUGCAGCAAGACAACGCAGAACAAGUCAUCUUAGAUCCACGACUAAUCGCCAGGCAUUAUCUACGCACGUGGUUCUUCCUGGACCUUAUCUCAUCCAUUCCAUUAGACUAUAUGUUUUUAAUUUUUAACCAAUUCCAGGAUUAUGGAGAUAGUUUUCAAUUUCUACACGCAGGCAGGGCAUUGAGGAUACUAAGAUUGGCCAAACUGCUCUCUCUCGUACGUCUUUUAAGGUUAUCCCGUUUGGUGCGUUACGUCAGCCAAUGGGAGGAAGUUUACAUCUUGCAGAACCUUCAAAAAAAACGAACGGAACGCCGUGGUCGUUACAGUUCCGAUCUGAACAAGCCGAGCACGAAAAGCAACCUCAUUUUCAAGUUUUUGAAUAUGGCGAGUGUCUUUAUGCGGAUAUUUAAUCUGAUUUGUAUGAUGAUGCUGAUCGGGCACUGGUCGGGGUGUUUGCAGUUUUUAGUUCCUAUGUUGCAAGGGUUUCCCGCCAAUUCUUGGGUGGCGAUUAACGAAUUACAGGAAGCUUAUUGGUUAGAACAGUACUCCUGGGCACUAUUUAAAGCGAUGUCGCACAUGUUAUGUAUAGGAUACGGCAGAUUCCCCCCACAAUCUUUGACAGAUAUGUGGCUCACGAUGUUAUCCAUGAUUUCUGGAGCGACCUGCUACGCUCUAUUCCUCGGACACGCGACCAAUUUAAUCCAGAGUCUGGACUCGUCCAGGAGACAAUAUCGGGAAAAGGUAAAACAAGUGGAGGAGUACAUGGCCUACAGGAAAUUGCCGCGAGAUAUGCGACAAAGGAUAACCGAGUACUUCGAGCAUCGGUACCAAGGGAAGUUCUUCGAUGAGGACGUGAUUUUGGGUGAACUCUCGGAGAAGUUGAGAGAGGACGUUAUCAAUUACAAUUGUCGCUCCUUAGUGGCUUCAGUGCCGUUUUUCACUAAUGCCGAUUCGAAUUUUGUCUCCGAUGUGGUUACUAAGUUAAAAUAUGAAGUCUUCCAACCAGGUGAUAUAAUAAUUAAGGAGGGCACCAUCGGCAACAAAAUGUACUUCAUUCAAGAAGGGAUCGUGGACAUCGUGAUGGCAAACGGAGAAGUUGCGACCAGUUUGAGCGAUGGGUCGUACUUCGGCGAGAUUUGUCUCUUAACCAAUGCACGACGCGUUGCGUCGGUACGUGCAGAAACGUACUGCAACUUGUUCUCUUUAUCAGUGGAUCAUUUCAAUGCAGUCCUGGACCAGUACCCGCUCAUGCGCCGCACCAUGGAGUCGGUCGCGGCGGAGAGGUCAGUGCGUUGGUUAAACAAAAUAGGCAAAACCGCCAACCUACUAUCCCACAAAGAAGAAGGCGACCUGGGCAGCGAAAGUAAAACCUUAAACGCAGUGGUGAACGCCCUGGCAGCCGAAGCAGACAACGUGAACAUGUCCAGAGAAUCUCUGGAAACGAAAUCGCCCACGCUACUACACCGGGAUGAUUCCGCUCUGGAUGUGAACUCGCAUAGCAUAAAGAACGCUCUGCCCCGCCCGAAAUCCGAGAACAAUAUCAUGUUGCCUUACGGAUGGUUGAUAAACAGCUCCGGAGAUCGGUCGUUUCAUAAAUCCGAUACAAUUCACAAGAAUCACAUGCAAUGACGACACUCGACGCACUAAUGUCGUUGUAGCACGCCGGGUCGAUUUUGUGAUAAACGGGCUUUGGUCGUUUAAUAAAAAAAAAAAAAAAGAGGUGAGAUUCUCCGGGGUGUUUCUUUUUUUUAUGGUUAGUUUGGUGUAAAUUUGUUGAGAAACUUCGUAUUCCUAGUGUAGCUGUUCAGCUUAACGACAAUUAUUAUUAUUAGUACACUAACUACGCUUUAGGCUGUGACACUUAUAUAUUAGAUUUAUAUUUCUUAUACAGUUUAUAGUAAUAGGGCGUGUGCUCUAAGCUUUUAAGAAAUUUGACUUUUUCUUUGAGAAUUUUAUGAAUUUCUUAGGGACUAUUCAAGUUUGGAAAGUACCAGCUGGAUCAGGAUAUAAAAGGGAUUUAUAACCUAAGAAUAUGAAUUUUUCAAGAAGUCAUUAUUAACGAAAUUAGGAGUUUGGGUUGGACCUUCUUGGGUUAGGUUCAUUAUUGCUUGUCUUGUAUGGCUUGUAAAAAAUUCGGUUGUAUGCCAUUUUAAAGGCAAAUGAUGCACCUUUUUUCAUAAACUGCGGCUUCAAUUAAUUUUAGUUUUUCACUCACAUGUGUUCUCUCAUAAUAACUUCUUGAAAAAGUAUACAGUUCUUAAGCUCAUUUGGACUUUAUAGUGCUAUAAAUUUCAAGUCAUUCAAGGGUUUCCAAUUUGAGUUCUCAUAGAAAACAGGGAUUCGACCCAUUUUUUACAAAUUAUAGAUUUAUCAUGCGCAAUGUAUCGAAACGUUCUGAAUUAUAAGAUUUUGCCAUUCCAUAUAAAUAUAUACUAAAUAUUAAAAUUUUAUUUUUUAAAAGUAUGCACUUUUUAGUUGGACAGCACGUAAUUUGGUCGUGACUAAAUUAAAUAAAUUGAGUUUUAAAAGAGAGAAAUUGGGUUUUUCCAAGAUUUUUCCAGCACAGGAUCUGAGCUUUCGUUUCCUUGAACUUUUAUUUUGACUAUUAUUAUCUUUUUAUUAACUAUUCAUAGUUUCGUCAAUAUUAUUGUGUUAUUUUAGUAAAAAUAGCUCUUAUGCACCGUUUGCCUAAAAUGUAAAUUUUCUGAUAAUGUUGUUUGCUCAUAUUUGAGGUUAUAGAUGCUAUUUCUCAAAAAUUGCCUAAACACCCAGAUUCAGCUACUUUUCCCAAAAUUCCUCCCUCCAUUCACCAUUUUAAAAUUGGUGAAUAUCGAAGUUUUGUGUAGUAAUUAAAAGAUUCAAAAUCCCUUAGAUGAGUUGGAAGAAUUUUUUUUUCAAACCUAUUCACCCAUUUUGAAUUUAUUAAAUUUAAAAAAAAAAACGUUAAUUUCUAUCAAAUAUUUAAAAUUAAAAAAAAAACAGUGUUUUCAAUUUCUUCAGUUUUACCAUUUUGAAUUUUAAAAACUUCGAAUUCUUGUUAAAAAAAAUGUUCAUCUAUUUGUUAGUUUGUGAAUUUUUUUCGAUCCCUAUUACUUCUGGCAGUACAAUCGAAUAUUUUCCAAAAAUUUUUCAUUUUAAUGAUUGCAUUUUUUUAAUUGCCAUGCAUUUAAAUUCAAAAUCUUUAAUUAAAUUGUAAUUAUUAUUAUUUUCAAAAAUUGCCUGUAGAUUUAAUUUUCGUUAUUAUAAUUUAUUAUAUUACAAACUUUCAAAAGUCUUAUAUAUUAAUCGUUACUUUAAAAUCUGGCAAAGGGAUUUUAAUAUGUUUGAGGCGCCCAAUUCCAAAACUCUUUAGAUCCCUGCUAACCAAUUUUACAGGAGAAGAGAAAAACUUUUGAAAUUUAAACCACAUUUUAAACCACAAAUUUUUGUGGUUUAAAAUGAAAAUACACAUAUAUGACAACUGUUUAUUUAAAUACUUAUUACUAAGUAGUAAAUUUUUGUUUAAAAGAAGUAGUUAUGGACAAAAAUAUUAGGGAUAUAACAAGUUUUGCUACCGCACUAUGGAACUAAAAAGUUUUGUUUCAGUAUCUGUAGGAUUUAGGGAGUUUUAAAUAAGUAAAAGCUGAUAAUUUAAAAACAAUUUUUUUUUAAAUGAAACUUAAAAAUUAAAUUCUUAGUCCAUCGUCUUCUUCCAUGGGUUCCAUUCCUUCUUCUUCUUCUUCUUCAACUUUUGUAUCAUGAAGUGAUUCAAUGGCGUUGUCAAUUACUUUUUUAUAAAAUGUUUAAUCGACCUCUUCAAUGUUUCUCCACUCUAAACCAAAAUGUUUUUUUAAUAAAGCAUCCACAUCCUUAAGCUUGGCUAGUUUUACUGCACAUUCCUUAGGAAGAGGCUCCAAAUUUAAGGUAGCCAAGGUUUUUCCUUUUUUCAAAACGGACUUGUAUAUCCCGAAAUCGCUUUUGUAAUUUACUUCCCCCUUUACGAACACUGCUUGAGUUCCUUUUGAGUUCCAUUUCUUUAAAAUUAAAAUUCUUUUACAUGGAGCAAACUUAAAAUGCCACUGCCCAGGUGGCUUUAUAACCGAUUCUAUAGCUUUUUUCCAGUUAAACAUUUGACAUCUUUUUCGAUAUCAAGCACAGUUGAAAACUCGGAAAAAAAUUUCCUGUAAUAAAACUAUAACUUCCUUUUUUUUAACUCUUUUUUCAAUUCGUCCGAAAACACGAUCCGCCGGUAAAAAAGAGUGACCAACGACAGGAAAUGUCACAAUAAUUUCAUUCACUGUAGAGUUAGAGUGAUACAGCCAAUACAUCAGCAUACCCAUCAUUGUUACGUUCUUGUUCUGGCCAGGACACCCAUCGCAAAAAAGUUUGAUUGAGGUAACAUCAGUCAAGUCUACCAUAGAAAGUUUAUUAUUAACUAGUGAAGAUAUUUCAUUUGAGCCCUUAGCGCACACAUUCUCGGUCCAAGUGUAUGAAGUGAUACUUUUCUUAGUCUGUUUGUCAUUUAGAAUUAGCUUUGCCUUAUUAUCCCUGUUGGUUUCGGCAGUUAUUAAGCUUUUAAGUCUUAUACAUUCCGAGCAAGCAUCGGUGGCAGGACUCUUGAAGCUAAUAUUAAAAUCCCUUGUAAAUACUUCCCGGAAAUAGUCAUAUUUUACAGCCAAUCUGUUUUCAUCACAGUAUAUUUUCCACAACUGCCUUUUGGAUAGAUCACUUGGCAUAUACUGACGUAGAGAUUUAUUCCUAGUGUAGUGAGACUGAACACAUUUUAACUUUAAGAUAAAUGCUUUUACAUUUUCUCUUCUUUCGGCAUAUUUUGUGCUUAUCCUAUCCCCUCCUCUAUUUUAUUUGGGUGGUAUAGUGUCAAUCAAAUAAUUCUUAGCUAUAGUUUGCACCCGAAACCUUGAAAUGUCCAAAAUAGAUUAAAAGGCUUUACUGCAAAUCUGGAAAGUGCCAUCUUUAGUUUUAAUGAAACGGAAUUAUUUCGAGUUCCUUUUAUUGGACGGCGCCUUUUUGGAACAAUUGGUUCUGUAUGUUUAAGAAUAAAGUUAUCUUGCGCAAUUUUCGUAGUAUUUUCACAGAAUUUUUCAUGAAAUCUUCGAAUAUCUUGCAUUGACAAGUUUUCACAUGCAAAAGUACUUUUUUAUGAUGACAUUUGGGGUGUCUAGGUAGAGUUUUAGGCUUAUACCUGCAAUAAAAAAAUAUUUUAAGUACCUACCUACCUAACUAUUAAAAAUUUAUUUAAAAUAUUACCUUUGAACUUUAUCUUUUGCUUUCUUCCAGUUUGAUGGAUUUCGCAAUUUCUUUCGGCCUUUACCAGGUGUAGCAAGACAAAAUGAGUCUUCCAUAUCACAAUGUGUGUAAGACUCUUUAUAUUAACAAAUUUUUAACAAAAACAGCACAACGUACAAACAAAAUCGAUGUACCUAUUCAUACCGCAGUCAAAACAAAACUAAACCAUAAAAAUAUUAUUUGUGGAACACAUGCCUGUAAGAUCUCGCGGAACAAAACAGUUUUGAUUCCGCGUAUUAUUACUGUGGUAUAAGUGUAAAUGGAAGAAAAGAGUUUUGAAAACGUUGCAGAUUAAUGGAUUAAGACACGCUUGAAACAUUAUUUACAUAGGAUUAAAAAAGUUUUGCUACCGUUACUACUAAGGCAAUUUCUUUGGGAUUUAUCAAGUUUUGAGGCCAAAUAAAUUUGACAUCUUAUGUCAAACGUCUUAAAGAAGACAGCGCCAUACAUAUGUCAUUUUUGAAUAAAAACGGAUUUAAGCAGUUUUGCAACUGAACCCUCGUUUCUACUUUAAACUAUUAUUAAAUUUGAAGAAAAUCCUUAAUUUUUAAAAUUCUUUUUCAAGUUCUUCCAUUGUGCUAACUUUUAAGGUUUCUGGUCUAGAAUAAUGUUUUUACUCUUUAAUCCUCAGGCAUUCUAUUAUGUUACUGUAAAAAAAUUACUAAAAUAUUUUCAGCAGUUCCCAUGUCCACUAAUGUAUGAAAAUCUCAGAUAGAAGAAACGUUUUAGUAUGGAAUUAUUGCAAAAGAAACACAUUUUCUUAUACAAAAGCCCUUUUAAGACAUUGCCAAUUAUUUCUUAAGCAUAUUUACUAUGAAAAUUGACCAAAAAAGUGCCUCAACCAAAGGUGUCCUAAGUUUCAAAACUUUCUGUCCAGAAGGAUGUUUUUUCUCUCAAAUUUAUCCUUGAAAAUUUGAUUUUAUUACUGUAAAAAAAUUAUCAAAAUCUUCACAUUGGUUCCUAAAUUAUACCCAAAAAUGUCUCCAUUAAUGCACAAAUAUCUUCAUGUUGCAAUGUGAAUUACAACUACAAAUUUGGCGGCUUUUGGACCCUGAUGGAUAAAAUUGCGUCUUACUCAGGAAGUGUUUGAGGUACAAAAAACGUUUUAGUAUAAAAUUAUUCUAAACGAAUAACAUUGCCUUGGACAAAAGCCUUUUUAAGAGAUUUCCAAUUAUUUCUCAAAAAUAUUAAAAAUUUACUAUGAAAAUUGACAAAAAAAAAUUUCUUCAACUAAAGGUGCCCUAAGUUAAUUUUUUGUCCAGAACGACGUUUUUACCCUUAAAUUCAUCCUCAAGAUGCCAUUUUAUUACUAUAAAAAAAUGAUGCAAAUAUUCACAUUGGUUCCUAAGUUACACCGAAAAAUGUCCAUUAAUGCACAAAUAUCUUGAUGAUGUUGCAAUAUGAGUUAAAAAAAUUCAAUUUUUGACCACAUUAGAUUUCUCAACUUUGAUUUUUCAACAUGGGUCAAAAACUUUAAAAUCUCGAUUUCUGGAUAGUAAUCAAUGACUUUACAGUCUCCUAAAUGACUUUUAAAAACACCGACUUUUUUUUAAAUUUAUCCAUUUCCAGAAACCUUUAACUCAUAAAAUGGAUAAAUGAGUUAUAAUUGAAUUUAAGAGAAUUCUUUAAAUUUGAAAACUCAUCUCCUUCAUCAAUCUAUAUAAUAUUGCUCAAUCAUCAAUAAAUUUCGACCAACACAAUUUAACAAUACCUGAAUAUUAUCUGAAAGAAACUAACAUUUAGAAAAUUUUAAUUAUUUUUUAAAUAUUAUAUGGUUGGUUUGUUUAUAGCAAAAUUCUCAAAUUUUUUAAAUUUAUCGUAAAAUUGCUAAAGUAAUUUUGAUAGUCCAGGUUUUCUAUUAAAUUUAUUCUAAGCAAGCUUUUCUGGAAAUAGAAUUUAUUGGGAAAUUAUGUCUCUAUGAACUCUGUUGUGCAUCCUCUAAAACAAACUUGAAUUAGAACAAUUAAAUUCCAAAUAUAGAAUUUCACUCUAUUAAUCAAUGGUCAUUUAAUACGUCCAUCCAUAGUAAUUUUUUUUGCCAAAAAACAAAUAAAUUUAUAUCCAAGCAAACAAUUCUACCCUAUUGCAUAGUCUAUUAGUAGUGGCUCAUAUGUUUUUUAAGCCAAACAAUGAGAACUUGGCAAAAACAUUAAAUAUUUCAUAAAAUUUUUCAAGAUUUCAUAAAAUCUUGGUAAAUUGAAUCAUUAGUUCAUUGGUUUCGACACAUUAAAUUCUACUCUGUAAACCGCUAAUUUAUCAAAAAGUUUUCCUUAAAAUGGUUAAACAUGUAAACACAUGUUUUUUGCGUGUGAAAAAGGUUCACUUGGAAACUCAUAUCUUUCAUCUGGGUGGUGUUUGAUAUCUGAAAAUAAGUUUCAAUAAACACUUGAAUUAAUUUAUAUUUUACUCUAUAAACAGCUGAUUUAUCAAUAAGCUUUCCUUUAAAUGACAAAAUAUCUCAUAACAGUUUUCUUGGGAAGUAGAUUUGUUUAAGAAUUCAUGCUCCUCAUCGAUUUGUAUAUUGCAUUGAGUGAGCCACUGUUUUUCAUAUGAUUCACUCUUAAAUUCCUAAACCAGGCAUUUUAUAGCAACACUGACAAUAUAAUUAAAUUCACCAUUUUCUGAUGUUAUUUUAGGUUCAGAUUAGCAUUUCAAAAUAGCGGUUUCAUUUUUUGGAAUCUGGUUCAUUUUGUCUCUGUUCUCUAACUGGAUUUAGAUGUGCAGUUAAUCUGUUCGUAUCAAUUUAUGUAGUACAAUAUCAGAAAGCGGUUGUUUAUCAAUUUUGUCUUGUUUAUGAUAACAGUGUCGUGGGCACAUUGUAUCGUAUUUAUGUAUUCUCCAUUUAUUUGACUUAAAGAAACAGUCAAAUUAAUGAUUAUGUAUUAUAGAACUCUUUUCAAUAAGUCAUUGCUUCUUCAAUAAACUUAUUGAAAAAUGGACUAAGCCAAAAGAAGCAGCAGCAGUUUUUUUAUUAUUAUAUGAAAAUCACAUUUCACUUCCUGAAAAACACUUAAUAAAGAUAUAUAAAUAUAUGCCCUAGAAGUAUAUAAUUUUUUUCAAUAAGCCAUUGAUUUUUCAAUAAGUUUAUUAUAGGGCAAACUGAUUUAAGUGUUAUUUGCAAAUUCACUUUCUCAAUCGAUUUAUACUUUAACUAUCAGAAAUUUCAUAAGAGAUCGGUAUAUUUGAUAAUUCUUGCUCAUGGACAAGAAAAUUAUUUCUCUUUUACCCUAUAUAGUCUGAUCCGUAUAUUUCCUAUAGGAUUCAACUAACGCUAGACUAUAUAGCUAAAAUAAUAAUAUUUUACAAAUUUAUAGUAUUUGGCUUUAUAUAAGCAAUAUAUUAUUCUUCCAGUAGCGUAUAUAAGUCAUCAUAGAACUUCAUGUAACCAUUCCAUAGCUUUAAACAAUAAUUUGGUUAAAAGUCACAUAUCAUGGCUAUCAUAUCACAAAAAGCUUAGAAGAAAUAUAUUAUUUGUUGUCCUUCUCUAUAUAUUUAAAAGCAAUCGGUUUUAUGCCAAUUAUAGUGAUUUACGCCAAACUAAACCUCGGAGAAUCUUAAAGAAUAAUUAUUAAAAAAUAACAUCGAUCAAGGCAAUUUUACAAGGAAUUUUUUGGACCACGCAUUUUUUGCCAAUGACAUUAGUGCGCCUUUUAGUCACGUCAUUUAUUAAAUUUUAAAUAGACUCGUUUAAUUAAUGAGAUAAAAAAAUACAAACAAAGCAAUACUACUUUUAAUAGACUCGUUUACUUAUUAGUUUACGCAAAGAACCUUAGAAAUAUGUAUUGUAAAUUAGCUUUAAACCCAUGCUCAAGUCUUUCUUUUAUUUAUUUAUUGGCACUUCACUUUUCUAUAGUGCGUUCGUUAUUAUACAUAUAAGUUUUAACAUGUUUUCUCUCUAUUUUAGAAGUUAUUGUUUUUUUUUUUAAUUAUUAUAUUGUUAUCGUAUUCAUCAGGUCCUAAAGAAAUCUAUAGACUUAGGUAUAUUUUAAUAGAAUAUGCUAAUAUAUUUUCGAAUUGAAUUCUGUGCCUACCUAUUUUAGGUUAGCUCUUUUAUAGCGUACGGUUUAAUAUAGCGAUGUCAAAACUAUAGGUUUAUCCCUGUCCUGCCAAUUAUUCUUAUAUGAUAAGUAAACAGGGAUAGAGAAGAUGCGUUCGCUAAAACCCAAAUUGAGUUACUCAAUUGAGGCGUCAAAAAUCGUUUUAUUAGUCUUCUCUUUAGGGUUAGAUCUUGUGAUAUUAGUGAGUCGAUAAGAAAUUUUUAGUAAGAAUUAAAAUUUAAAAAAAUGCGCGUAAUUCGGUUUGGGUUUUAGUGGAUUUUCCCGGUUUCGACGUUGGCACGAUUAAACUUUCUUUUUAAAUGAAACUAUACGAUAGUCUCAAAAAAAAACAAAGCGCUCUGUACACAAACUGUUAAAACUUGAAAUAGAAAUUAGUUUAAUACUAAAAA
This 11025-nucleotide unclassified non-coding RNA is filed under the name Anthonomus grandis grandis. RNAcentral describes it as "potassium/sodium hyperpolarization-activated cyclic nucleotide-gated channel 2". Lineage: Eukaryota; Metazoa; Arthropoda; Insecta; Coleoptera; Curculionidae. The record is from RNAcentral.